GGGGAUGUAGCUCAGUGGUAGAGUACUGGCCUUGUAUGCCUGAGGCCCUAGGUUCAAUCCCCAGCACCAACA
RNAcentral lists this transfer RNA (72 nucleotides) under Heterocephalus glaber (naked mole-rat). It matches the Rfam family "tRNA". Rfam says of the family: Transfer RNA (tRNA) molecules are approximately 80 nucleotides in length. Their secondary structure includes four short double-helical elements and three loops (D, anti-codon, and T loops). Further hydrogen bonds mediate the characteristic L-shaped molecular structure. tRNAs have two regions of fundamental functional importance: the anti-codon, which is responsible for specific mRNA codon recognition, and the 3' end, to which the tRNAs corresponding amino acid is attached (by aminoacyl-tRNA synthetases). tRNAs cope with the degeneracy of the genetic code in two manners: having more than one tRNA (with a specific anti-codon) for a particular amino acid; and 'wobble' base-pairing, i.e. permitting non-standard base-pairing at the 3rd anti-codon position. The record is from Rfam by way of RNAcentral. Lineage: Eukaryota; Metazoa; Chordata; Mammalia; Rodentia; Bathyergidae.